Molecule: ribosomal RNA, 420 nt
Filed under: uncultured bacterium
Lineage: Bacteria
Description: bacterial SSU rRNA
Rfam family: Bacterial small subunit ribosomal RNA
Source: RNAcentral
GAGGAAUAUUGGGCAAUGGGCGCAAGCCUGACCCAGCCAUGCCGCGUGAAGGUAGAAGGCCCUAUGGGUUGUAAACUUCUUUUAUACGGGAAGAAACUUCCGAACGUGUUCGGGAUUGACUGUACCGUAAGAAUAAGCAUCGGCUAACUCCGUGCCAGCAGCCGCGGUAAUACGGAGGAUGCAAGCGUUAUCCGGAUUUAUUGGGUUUAAAGGGUGCGUAGGCGGAAUGAUAAGUCAGUGGUGAAAGCCUGCGGCUUAACCGUAGAAAUGCCAUUGAUACUGUUGUUCUUGAGUAUAGUUGAGGUGGGCGGAAUGUGUAAUGUAGCGGUGAAAUGCUUAGAUAUUACACAGAACACCAAUUGCGAAGGCAGCUCACUAAGCUAUCACUGACGCUGAGGCACGAAAGCGUGGGGAGCAAAC